ACGCUGGCGGCAGGCCUAACACAUGCAAGUCGAGCGGUAGAGAGAGGCUUGCUUCUCUUGAGAGCGGCGGACGGGUGAGUAAUGCCUAGGAAUCUGCCUGGUAGUGGGGGAUAACGUUCGGAAACGGACGCUAAUACCGCAUACGUCCUACGGGAGAAAGCAGGGGACCUUCGGGCCUUGCGCUAUCAGAUGAGCCUAGGUCGGAUUAGCUAGUUGGUGAGGUAAUGGCUCACCAAGGCGACGAUCCGUAACUGGUCUGAGAGGAUGAUCAGUCACACUGGAACUGAGACACGGUCCAGACUCCUACGGGAGGCAGCAGUGGGGAAUAUUGGACAAUGGGCGAAAGCCUGAUCCAGCCAUGCCGCGUGUGUGAAGAAGGUCUUCGGAUUGUAAAGCACUUUAAGUUGGGAGGAAGGGCAGUUACCUAAUACGUGAUUGUUUUGACGUUACCGACAGAAUAAGCACCGGCUAACUCUGUGCCAGCAGCCGCGGUAAUACAGAGGGUGCAAGCGUUAAUCGGAAUUACUGGGCGUAAAGCGCGCGUAGGUGGUUAGUUAAGUUGGAUGUGAAAUCCCCGGGCUCAACCUGGGAACUGCAUUCAAAACUGACUGACUAGAGUAUGGUAGAGGGUGGUGGAAUUUCCUGUGUAGCGGUGAAAUGCGUAGAUAUAGGAAGGAACACCAGUGGCGAAGGCGACCACCUGGACUGAUACUGACACUGAGGUGCGAAAGCGUGGGGAGCAAAC
Molecule: ribosomal RNA, 745 nt
Filed under: uncultured bacterium
Lineage: Bacteria
Description: bacterial SSU rRNA
Rfam family: Bacterial small subunit ribosomal RNA
Source: RNAcentral